Molecule: transfer RNA, 80 nt
Filed under: Metschnikowia bicuspidata
Lineage: Eukaryota; Fungi; Ascomycota; Pichiomycetes; Serinales; Metschnikowiaceae
Description: tRNA-Ser
Rfam family: tRNA
About the family: Transfer RNA (tRNA) molecules are approximately 80 nucleotides in length.
Source: RNAcentral
GAUAAUUUGUCCGAGUGGUUUAGGAAAGAUUAGAAAUCUUUUGGGCUCUGCCCGCCCAGGUUGGAAUCCUGCAGUUGUCG